This 461-nucleotide ribosomal RNA is filed under the name uncultured bacterium. RNAcentral's name for it is "bacterial SSU rRNA". It matches the Rfam family "Bacterial small subunit ribosomal RNA", at positions 58 to 507 of the family's 1533-position model. The record is from RNAcentral.
CAAGUCGAGGGAAACGACAGUCGAAAGCUUGCUUUUGAUGGGCGUGACCGGCGCACGGGUGAGUAACGCGUAUCCAACCUGCCCACCACUUGGGGAUAACCUUGCGAAAGUAAGACUAAUACCCAAUGAUAUCCCACGAAGGCAUCCGAAUGGGAUUAAAGAUUUAUCGGUGAUGGAUGGGGAUGCGUCUGAUUAGCUUGUUGGCGGGGUAACGGCCCACCAAGGCGACGAUCAGUAGGGGUUCUGAGAGGAAGGUCCCCCACAUUGGAACUGAGACACGGUCCAAACUCCUACGGGAGGCAGCAGUGAGGAAUAUUGGUCAAUGGGCGAGAGCCUGAACCAGCCAAGUAGCGUGCAGGAAGACGGCCCUAUGGGUUGUAAACUGCUUUUAUAAGGGAAUAAAGUGGGUCACGUGUGACUUUUUGCAUGUACCUUAUGAAUAAGGACCGGCUAAUUCCGUG